GACGAACGCUUGCGGCGUGCUUAACACAUGCAAGUCGAACGGAAAGGCCCUGCUUUUGUGGGGUGCUCGAGUGGCGAACGGGUGAGUAACACGUGAGUAACCUGCCCUUGACUUUGGGAUAACUUCAGGAAACUGGGGCUAAUACCGGAUAGGAGCUCCUGCUGCAUGGUGGGGGUUGGAAAGUUUCGGCGGUUGGGGAUGGACUCGCGGCUUAUCAGCUUGUUGGUGGGGUAGUGGCUUACCAAGGCUUUGACGGGUAGCCGGCCUGAGAGGGUGACCGGCCACAUUGGGACUGAGAUACGGCCCAGACUCCUACGGGAGGCAGCAGUGGGGAAUAUUGCACAAUGGGCGGAAGCCUGAUGCAGCAACGCCGCGUGCGGGAUGACGGCCUUCGGGUUGUAAACCGCUUUCGCCUGUGACGAAGCGUGAGUGACGGUAAUGGGUAAAGAAGCACCGGCUAACUACGUGCCAGCAGCCGCGGUGAUACGUAGGGUGCGAGCGUUGUCCGGAUUUAUUGGGCGUAAAGGGCUCGUAGGUGGUUGAUCGCGUCGGAAGUGUAAUCUUGGGGCUUAACCCUGAGCGUGCUUUCGAUACGGGUUGACUUGAGGAAGGUAGGGGAGAAUGGAAUUCCUGGUGGAGCGGUGGAAUGCGCAGAUAUCAGGAGGAACACCAGUGGCGAAGGCGGUUCUCUGGGCCUUUCCUGACGCUGAGGAGCGAAAGCGUGGGGAGCGAACAGGCUUAGAUACCCUGGUAGUCCACGCUGUAAACGGUGGGUACUAGGUGUGGGGUCCAUUCCACGGGUUCCGUGCCGUAGCUAACGCUUUAAGUACCCCGCCUGGGGAGUACGGCCGCAAGGCUAAAACUCAAAGGAAUUGACGGGGCCCCGCACAAGCGGCGGAGCAUGCGGAUUAAUUCGAUGCAACGCGUAGAACCUUACCUGGGUUUGACAUGGAUCGGGAGUGCUCAGAGAUGGGUGUGCCUCUUUUGGGGUCGGUUCACAGGUGGUGCAUGGCUGUCGUCGGCUCGUGUCGUGAGAUGUUGGGUUAAGUCCCGCAACGAGCGCAACCCUUGUUCACUGUUGCCAGCACGUUAUGGUGGGGACUCAAUGGAGACCGCCGGGGUCAACUCGGAGGAAGGUGGGGAUGACGUCAAGUCAUCAUGCCCCUUAUGUCCAGGGCUUCACGCAUGCUACAAUGGCUGGUACAGAGAGUGGCGAGCCUGUGAGGGUGAGCGAAUCUCGGAAAGCCGGUCUCAGUUCGGAUUGGGGUCUGCAACUCGACCUCAUGAAGUCGGAGUCGCUAGUAAUCGCAGAUCAGCAACGCUGCGGUGAAUACGUUCUCGGG
This 1343-nucleotide ribosomal RNA is filed under the name uncultured bacterium. RNAcentral describes it as "16S ribosomal RNA". It matches the Rfam family "Bacterial small subunit ribosomal RNA", at positions 28 to 1378 of the family's 1533-position model. The record is from RNAcentral.